Molecule: long non-coding RNA, 739 nt
Filed under: Agrilus planipennis (emerald ash borer)
Lineage: Eukaryota; Metazoa; Arthropoda; Insecta; Coleoptera; Buprestidae
Description: uncharacterized LOC108734712, transcript variant X1
Source: RNAcentral
CUUGCAUCAACAAAUAUGGCCGCUUGACGUAACGUCGGUAAAGUACAUCGUGUUCUAAAUUGGUAGUAUAUUAAUCGCAAAUGUGAGAAUUACUGAAAGUAAUUGCUGAAAACAUUCGGUACGAUUGUUGCAAAUUGUUUUUUGAAUUAGCUAUGAAUAAAAUGUGCGCUUCUUUUGUGAUUUUCCAAAAAAAAUGAUUCUUCUAGAAACAAAAGAACUGGAUGCCAUGUAUUAUGAAGUAUUCAUCCUAUCAAACGUUUUGUCUCUACAGGAUGUUACAGUACCUGAAGGAAGCAUAAAUUAACGUACCCUUUAUCCUUUGGAAAUAUGGGCAGUGUAUUGCUGUUGCUAAAAGAAACAGUUUUGACAAUAAAUAGGAGUAUUAUACUACAACUCUGUGAGGCAUCGAUCGUUGCAGUCCUGUUUCACUCCACAACAUAAGAGCGUCUGAAAGAAACAUGACAAUGCUUUUUCCCGAAUGGAUGCAGUAGAAUCUGUUGUUUAUUUACUAAAGAAAGGAUUCGCAGCAACUAAUGGAGCAGUCUGUGAUAGACAUGAUAGACAUGGAAGUCAACAACAAGUUAGGACAUCAUGAUCAGUGAAGAACAUCAGGACCACCAGGACAUCAAGGAACGAGACCACCAAAAUCCAAUCCACUAAUCUCGGUCCAAUCAAGGGAAUGUAACAUUUCUUGGAAUUCUACAUUGUAAUAUAUGUUUUAUUUCUUUUAAUUUUUAUA